Molecule: ribosomal RNA, 468 nt
Filed under: uncultured bacterium
Lineage: Bacteria
Description: partial 16S ribosomal RNA
Rfam family: Bacterial small subunit ribosomal RNA
Source: RNAcentral
GACGAACGCUGGCGGCGGGCUUAACACAUGCAAGUCGAACGGAAAGGCCCUGCUUUUGUGGGGUUCUCGAGUGGCGAACGGGUGAGUAACACGUGAGUAACCUGCCCUUGACUUUGUGAUAACUUCAGGAAACUGGGGCUAAUACCUGAUAGGAGCUCCUGCUGCAUGGUGGGGGUUGGAAAGUUUCGGCGGUUGGGGAUGUACUCGCGGCUUAUCAGCUUGUUGGUGGGGUAGUGGCUUACCAAGGCUUUGACGGGUAGCCGGCCUGAGAGGGUUACCGGCCACAUUGGGACUGAGAUACGGCCCAGACUCCUACGGGAGGCAGCAGUGGGGAAUAUUGCACAAUGGGCGGAAGCCUGAUGCAGCAACGCCGCGUGCGGGAUGAAGGCCUUCGGGUUGUAAACCGCUUUCGCCUGUGACGAAGCGUGAGUGACGGUAAUGGGUAAAGAAGCACCGGCUAACUACGUG